AAUUCAAGUUUGAAGAUUGUCUAUUAUACUUAGGAGAAUAUUUUAUAUUCCAAAAGAGCUAUUAUACCUUUGUCUUCUUUGAACAUAUUAUGACUUUUUAGUUGCAAGAUAUUUUUAAUUCAAAAAGACAUUGAAAUUCACUUUUAGAAAUUUUUUGUAGCCUCAAAUGUAAAAAGAUUUCGAAGAAUUUUUCUUUUCUUACAAUACAUG
This 210-nucleotide long non-coding RNA is filed under the name Physcomitrium patens. RNAcentral describes it as "long non-coding RNA (PPAT_LNC000178)". The record is from RNAcentral. Lineage: Eukaryota; Viridiplantae; Streptophyta; Bryopsida; Funariales; Funariaceae.